RNAcentral lists this ribosomal RNA (253 nucleotides) under uncultured bacterium. RNAcentral describes it as "partial 16S ribosomal RNA". It matches the Rfam family "Bacterial small subunit ribosomal RNA", at positions 524 to 776 of the family's 1533-position model. The record is from RNAcentral.
UAAGAAGGGGGCUAGUGUUGCUCGGAAUGACUGGGCGUAAAGGGCGCGUAGGCGGACUGUACAGUCAGGCGUGAAAUUCCUGGGCUUAACAUGAGUACUGCGUCUGAGACGUGAGAUCUAGAGUGAGGAAGAGGUUCGUGGAAUUUACAGUGUAGAGGUGAAAUUCGUAGAUAUUAGAAAGAACACCGGUGGCGAAGGCGGCGACCUGGUCCAUGACAGACGCUGCGGCGCGAAAGCGUGGGGAGCAAACAGG